This 380-nucleotide ribosomal RNA is filed under the name uncultured bacterium. Its description in RNAcentral is "bacterial SSU rRNA". It matches the Rfam family "Bacterial small subunit ribosomal RNA", at positions 29 to 396 of the family's 1533-position model. The record is from RNAcentral.
AACGAACGCUGGCGGCGUGCCUAACACAUGCAAGUCGAACGAGAAAGGGGCUUCGGCUCCGAGUAAAGUGGCGCACGGGUGAGUAACACGUAGGUAACCUGCCUCUAAGAUUGGGAUAACAUGUCGAAAGACGUGCUAAUACCGAAUAAGACCACGGCUUCCUCGGAAGCAGGGGUCAAAGAUAGCCUCUACUUGUAAGCUAUCACUUAGAGAUGGGCCUGCGUACCAUUAGCAGUUGGUAGGUAAUGCCUACCAAGGCAAAGAUGGUUAGCUGGUCUGAGAGGAUGAUCAGCCACACUGGAACUGAGACACGGUCCAGACUCCUGCGGGAGGCAGCAGUGGGAAUAUUGCGCAAUGGGCGAAAGCCUGACGCAGCAACG